CGACACGCAGGGAUGCUGCCGCGUCUGGCCGCUCCCGGGAAAUCGUCUGCACAUGAAUCAAAGCCUCAGCACCUUCUUGAAACCCUUCUCUGCUGCCCCUCGACUCCUUGGCUGAGCCCUCUGCCAUGAAUCCAGGUGUUCCUGCCUGGGGUGAAACUCCCCCCAGUUCAAAGAGGCAGCACGACAGCACUGGGGCUCUGAUCUGCACAGAUGCAUGAGGCCCAGAACAAGGUCUUGAUUGCAGGCUUCAGAGAAGCAUUUUCAUUGCAUUUUGCCUCUCCAACCAGCCAGGUGAGGCAGUUCCCAAGGGGGAAUAAUUCUGACCAGACCAAGGAACAGUUUCCUCCUCUUCUCUGCUUCACAGGAUGAGGAAAUAAAUGGCCUCAUAGAUGAGUAAUGAGCCGGACAGCGAGUGUCUUCCACCAGACUGCAAAUCCUCCUGCAGGGACACUCCUGUGCUCUGCACACACAGAGCACUGGGGUCCCACACCCUUAGAGGGAGGAUGCAUUGGCCAACAUUUUGUCAAACAGCAAAUAAAGAUGAAUUAGUCCUGGGAAAAAA
This is a long non-coding RNA of Taeniopygia guttata (zebra finch), 562 nucleotides long. RefSeq lists it as uncharacterized. The record is from RefSeq and is a predicted model, not a curated record. NCBI's taxonomy places the organism in Eukaryota, Metazoa, Chordata, Aves, Passeriformes, Estrildidae.